UGUGAAUCCUCUGCUUCAGUACCUGCACGAGAUAAAAACCCAUUGUGCUAAGCAUAUAGCUUAGUGGUGCAAAUCUAACUUGAGAUGGCUAAUUAAUAAUCAACUGUAACUAUAAAUGCUGUAAACACUUAACCAAGCUAUUAAGAUAAAUUUAAGCAUGUAACAAUUCACAAUGAUUUUUACAAAUAUAAAUAUAACAUUUCAUCAUUAGCCCUUUACUUGAAUUUCACUAAUCAUGCUCAUGAAAUGUGCAUAUGGCA
Molecule: unclassified non-coding RNA, 260 nt
Filed under: Hevea brasiliensis (rubber tree)
Lineage: Eukaryota; Viridiplantae; Streptophyta; Magnoliopsida; Malpighiales; Euphorbiaceae
Source: RNAcentral